UACGGGGGGGGCAAGCGUUGUUCGGAAUUACUGGGCGUAAAGGGCUCGUAGGUGGCCAAUUAAGUCAGACGUGAAAUCCCCAAGCUUAACUUGGGAACUGCGUCGGAUACUGGAUGGCUUGAAUUCGGGAGAGGGAUGCAGAAUUCCAGGUGUAGCGGUGAAAUGCGUAGAUAUCUGGAGGAAUACCGGUGGCGAAGGCGGCAUCCUGGACCGACAUUGACGCUGAUGAGCGAAAGCUAGGGGAGCAAACGGG
RNAcentral lists this ribosomal RNA (253 nucleotides) under uncultured bacterium. Its description in RNAcentral is "partial 16S ribosomal RNA". It matches the Rfam family "Bacterial small subunit ribosomal RNA", at positions 524 to 776 of the family's 1533-position model. The record is from RNAcentral.